Molecule: ribosomal RNA, 254 nt
Filed under: uncultured bacterium
Lineage: Bacteria
Description: partial 16S ribosomal RNA
Rfam family: Bacterial small subunit ribosomal RNA
Source: RNAcentral
GAUCCUGGCUCAGGAUGAACGCUGGCGGCGUGCUUAACACAUGCAAGUCGAACGGGAAAUACUUUAUUGAAACUUCGGUCGAUUUAAUUUAUUUCUAGUGGCGGACGGGUGAGUAACGCGUGGGUAACCUGCCUUAUACUGGGGGAUAACAGCCAGAAAUGGCUGCUAAUACCGCAUAAGCGCACAGAACCGCAUGGUUCCGUGUGAAAAACUCCGGUGGUAUAAGAUGGACCCGCGUUGGAUUAGCUGGUUGG